This 259-nucleotide ribosomal RNA is filed under the name uncultured bacterium. Its description in RNAcentral is "partial 16S ribosomal RNA". It matches the Rfam family "Bacterial small subunit ribosomal RNA", at positions 526 to 779 of the family's 1533-position model. The record is from RNAcentral.
CGGAGGGUGCAAGCGUUAUCCGGAUUUACUGGGUUUAAAGGGUAGCGUAGGUGGGUCGUGUAAGUCAGUGGUGAAAUCUCCGGGCGUUAACCCGGAAACUUGCCAUUGAUACUAUAGGUCUUGAAUCAUCUGGAGGUAAGCGGAAUAAUGUCAUGUAGCGGUGAAAUGCUUAGAUAUGACAUAGUACACCAAUUGCGAAGGCAGCUUACUACGGAUGUAUUGACACUGAGGCACGAAAGCGUGGGGAUCAAACAGGAUU